This is a long non-coding RNA of Propithecus coquereli (Coquerel's sifaka), 257 nucleotides long. RefSeq lists it as uncharacterized. The record is from RefSeq and is a predicted model, not a curated record. Lineage: Eukaryota; Metazoa; Chordata; Mammalia; Primates; Indriidae. The transcript has 3 exons.
UUUUCAUCGACGGAUUACAGUUAGGAGAAGAUUUUAUUGAAUUGCAUAAACUUCUAAGAAAGUCCACUUACAAACAUGCAAAACUCUAUGGUCCUGAUGUCGGUCAGCCUCGAGGAAAGACUGUUAAGAUGCUGAAGAGUUUCCUGGAGGCUGGGGGAGAAGUGAUUGAUUCAGUUACGUGGCAUCACUACUAUUUGAAUGGACGAAUUGCUACCAAAGAAGAUUUUCUAAACCCUGAUGUGUUGGACACUUUUAUU